CCUACGGGAGGCAGCAGUGAGGAAUAUUGGUCAAUGGGCGGAAGCCUGAACCAGCCAAGUCGCGUGCGGGAUGAAGGCCCUACGGGUCGUAAACCGCUUUUGCACGGGGAUAACACCCUCCACUUGUGGAUGUCUGCAGGUACCGUGCGAAUAAGCGCCGGCUAAUUCCGUGCCAGCAGCCGCGGUAAUACGGAAGGCCCGAGCGUUAUCCGGAUUCAUUGGGGUUAAAGGGAGCGUAGGCGGACGUUCAAGUCAGCUGUAAAAUCGCGGGGCUCAACCGCGCACCGCCGUUGAAACUGGACGCCUUGAGUUCACAACAGGCAGGCGGAAUGCGUGGUGUAGCGGUGAAAUGCAUAGAUAUCACGAGGAACCCCGAUUGCGAAGGCAGCCUGCCGGGGUGCGACUGACGCUGAGGCUCGAAGGUGCGGGUAUCGAACAGGAUUAGAUACCCUAGUAGUC
Molecule: ribosomal RNA, 459 nt
Filed under: uncultured bacterium
Lineage: Bacteria
Description: partial 16S ribosomal RNA
Rfam family: Bacterial small subunit ribosomal RNA
Source: RNAcentral